Molecule: transfer RNA, 73 nt
Filed under: Camelus bactrianus (Bactrian camel)
Lineage: Eukaryota; Metazoa; Chordata; Mammalia; Artiodactyla; Camelidae
Also listed under: 1 other name
Rfam family: tRNA
About the family: Transfer RNA (tRNA) molecules are approximately 80 nucleotides in length. Their secondary structure includes four short double-helical elements and three loops (D, anti-codon, and T loops). Further hydrogen bonds mediate the characteristic L-shaped molecular structure. tRNAs have two regions of fundamental functional importance: the anti-codon, which is responsible for specific mRNA codon recognition, and the 3' end, to which the tRNAs corresponding amino acid is attached (by aminoacyl-tRNA synthetases). tRNAs cope with the degeneracy of the genetic code in two manners: having more than one tRNA (with a specific anti-codon) for a particular amino acid; and 'wobble' base-pairing, i.e. permitting non-standard base-pairing at the 3rd anti-codon position.
Source: Rfam by way of RNAcentral
GUGGCUAUGGCUCAGUGGUGGAGCAUGUGCUUAGCAUGCAUCAAGGUCCUGGGUUCAAUCCCCAGUACCUCCU